UUCCGGUUGAUCCCGCCGGACCUGACUGCUAUCGGAUUGAUACUAAGCCAUGCGAGUCAUUGUAGCAAUACAAGGCAGACGGCUCAGUAACGCGUAGUCAACCUACCUUAUGGACGGGGAUAACCUCGGGAAACUGAGAAUAAUACCUGAUAGAACAUUAUGCCUGGAAUGGUUUAUGUUUCAAAUAAUUUAUUGCCGUAAGAUGGGACUGCGGCCUAUCAGUUUGUUGGUGAGGUAAUGGCCCACCAAGACUAUUACAGGUACGGGCUCUGAGAGGAGUAGCCCGGAGAUGGGUACUGAGACACGGACCCAGGCCCUAUGGGGCGCAGCAGGCGAGAAAACUUUGCAAUGUGCGAAAGCACGACAAGGUUAAUCCGAGUGGUUUCUGCUAAAGGAACCUUUUGUCAGUCAUAGAACCACUGACGAAUAAGGGGUGGGCAAGUUCUGGUGUCAGCCGCCGCGGUAAAACCAGCACCUCAAGUGGUCAGGAUGAUUAUUGGGCCUAAAGCAUCCGUAGCCUGCUUUGUUAGUUUUCGGUUAAAUCCAUAUGCUCAACGUAUGGGCUGCCGGGAAUACUGCAAAGCUAGGGAGUGGGAGAGGUAGACGGUACUCGGUAGGAAGGGGUAAAAUCCUUUGAUCUAUUGAUGACCACCUGUGGCGAAGGCGGUCUACCAGAACACGUCCGACGGUGAGGGAUAAAAGCUGGGGGAGCAAACCGGAUUAGAUACCCGGGUAGUCCCAGCUGUAAACUAUGCAAACUCGGUGAUGCAUUGGCUUGAUGCCAAUGCAGUGCCGCACGGAAGCCGUUAAGUUUGCCGCCCGGGAAGUACGUACGCAAGUAUGAAACUUAAAGGAAUUGGCGGGGGAGCACCACAAGGGGUGAAGCCUGCGGUUCAAUUGGGAGUCAACGCCGGAA
Molecule: ribosomal RNA, 916 nt
Filed under: uncultured archaeon
Lineage: Archaea
Description: bacterial SSU rRNA
Rfam family: Archaeal small subunit ribosomal RNA
Source: RNAcentral